Long non-coding RNA from Brienomyrus brachyistius, 5771 nucleotides. RefSeq lists it as uncharacterized. The transcript has 4 exons. NCBI's taxonomy places the organism in Eukaryota, Metazoa, Chordata, Actinopteri, Osteoglossiformes, Mormyridae. The record is from RefSeq and is a predicted model, not a curated record.
ACAGCGAUGGGUGAGGGACCGGAGCUGAGCGUCUGUAAACAUUGUCAGGGGGAGACCUGGGGGGUGAUGUGGCGAAAGGCCUGGGUCUGUGCUCUCACCCUGGAAGGAUGUGGGGUCAGCAGGGCCUUCGUGAGGCAGGAUGGGUGGCUCUCCUCCGCCCUCUGUCCAUCCCUCUGUCCGUCUCGCUGUUUCCCCGUUCCACUCCUCUUCCCCCCUUUCUGUCCACGUCUCUAUUUUCGUCUCGCCGUUCUGUGUCUGCGGCAUUAAAGGAAAUCCUGUGAGAUCUAUGGUCGCGUUACUUUAAAUACGCGGCCAAGGUAAAAGGGAGUUAUAUCUUUUGCAGUUGAUUUUGAGAACGAUGCACAUGUUUACUUGUGUAUGGGCGUUGUGCUGGUCUUAUCAGCGAAUACAUAUGGGGGAAUGAGACGCUUGUCUGUGUAUGGAGCUGUUAGAGGCUCGGGAUGCUGGGUAAGGCCUGGGACACUGGUUACACGUCAGCCACAUGCAGCUUCAGUCGUCGGAUACCAGUGUGUAACGGCCAGUGUGUUAAAUAGUGUGUGAUAGUAGCGCCUGAUCAUAAAAAAAUGACAGGAAAAAGGUUUCAAUAGCACUGGCUUUAGGGGACCCCAGAAUCCUCAUCCCUUUACUGAACAUGGCCCUAAAGGGUAAACAUGGAGACUAAUUAAAGACUGGAAAGACACAACAGGUCACAGGGGUUUAAAUGAACUCCGCAGUUUUCAGCGUUUACAUUCAUCGAAGUCAAAAGCGACACCAGAACCCGAGUGGACGGGUUUCUUACAACAUUACAGUAAUUAUGUGCAUAUGCUGUGAGCUGAUCUCUGUACAGCUGAAGCUGUUUAGAACACAGUAUUACUGACACAGUUUUUAUGUUUUUAGUUACAAACAUGCACUGUAAAUGCUGCUGAAACACAAAGACUAUUAUUCGUAAAACAUCGGCACCUAUAAUCCUCCUAAUGGCAGUGAGAAUGACGACAGCCGGCCAGGUAGCAAAUGAGCGCAAACGGUGCUGUGAAUGUAGCACUGACACGCUAAGCGUUUUCGUGACUAUUGCCUGCAGUCUCUCCCUCGCCGCACGCCUUCCCCCGUUCACCCUGGGGCUGCAAACUGAAGGUCCCCAGCCCCCCAAGGUGUCGGUGGGCCCAUGAGCCAUAUUUAACACCCCAGGCUCAUUUCUGCCGCUGUGUUCCAGGCGCAGGCGCCGUUUACUGUCGCUGGAAUAUGAUGAAAGAGCCUUAAAACGUAAUGGAUUUUAAAGCCCUAUUAAAAACAGAGUGAAACAGCCAGCUGGCUCGGCGUAGAUGGAGCAGCACUCCUGCAGUGAGGAAACAACUACAUCAACAAAGCGCCCUGAGGCUGAAGAUGGGCCGGAAUCGGCAUGGGCUCCUGGAACAGCCCUGUGAUUGUUCCCUGGCUUUGAAGCGGAGCGAGGACAGACGGGGCUUCGAACCGUGAGGGCGGAUCAAUCCUGACCAUUCAUGGGUCAGAUCGGGGGUGCCGGUGAGAUUCCGUCAAGUCCGGGAACCGACUUCUCCUGCAGCUAUAAUUGGGACAGAGACCGGAAUCAGAAACACCCAAGUGGCAUCCCAGGAAAAGUGCAUCAUCCCCACUGUACACUCAGUGCUACUCUACUGGAAAGCAUGGAACACAUGUAAUUCAAGAACGGAAGACACCAAACUGAAGAAGAAAUUGUGCUAUUUAAUUGCAGGCAUCCCCACAAUCCCUUAUGCAGCCAUAUUGAUUCGACUGACUGAAAGUAUUUCCUCGAAGUUGUUCUGAAAUUCGGAUCAAUGGGUUUCAUUUUGAAGCACCUUUGUUUGGCCUCUGAAGGCUUUUAUUUCCCUCCACGGUGGAUUUCACUGAACUCUGGAAAAUGUCACAAUUUACCUUAAUUUGUGCAACUUUAGGUAAAAAAAAAAAUGAAUGAAUGGAAGAGCGACUGCAUAAAUGAAAGCAGAGUGAUUGCAGGCUGCCUUCAGCAGAGGGUGGUCUUGCCUGAUCAACCCUGAAACCGCGCUUCCCCUUUGGCCUUUGCUGGAACAAAGGCUGGCUUUUUCUUCAUCUGUGGUGAAGAGAUUGACUGACAAAAAUCCACAAUCAAAUAAAGGAGACCCCCCGCCCCUCCCCAGCCCUAACAAAUGUUUGAUAAAUGCUUUUUUGGACAUACACCUUGUUUAAAGACCUUUUCAGACAUUUAAAUAAAAUUCAAAACCUACGGAUAAGAGAAUGAAGGGACAGAUUCACACCACAUUCAUCAUCUAAAAUAUAAGGGGGGGUAGGAGCAACUUUUCAAGGUAAUAAAUAAUUAACCCCAGGUUUUUAUGGUCUUACAGAAAAAAAUAUUUUUCAAGCAUUUUUUAAAUAGUACGUUUAAUAUGAAUAUUUUGGUCAGGUCUUACGCAAAAGCCAUCCAAAAAAGAAAAGCUUAGCAUUAUAUUACCCUUGUAAAUAUAUGCUAAGUGGUUUUACUGGAACUUCCAGUAUCCACCAGAUACAUGCGUGUGGUUCCCCACGAUAGCCUCACUUCCUGUUUUGCGAGGACGGCCUUCAUUCGCGCCUUCCGCCUACACUCAUUGUAAAUAACUUUUCCUGCCUUGGUCUGCUGUGGCAUUUAGGAAAGUUGUUUAUAACCAAGACUUGCACCACUUGCACUGUUGGCUGCAACGCGUUUUUCUCGACAGCAGUGAGCGGAGAUUCAGAAUCCAUAUCUCUGCUGGCAUAUUAGCAAGUGUUUCACAUUCGUUGUUUUACAUUUUUUUUUAGGUGUGUUGUGAAAGCUGAGACAAUUCCUGGUAGAGCUCGGUCCCCCGGGGUCAGAGGGUCCACAGCGGUGUGACUUCGGCUGACCAUUAUAGCGCCAUCCAGCUUCACGACGCAAACAAACCUUAAAUCACCACCAGUGGCAGCUGUCCAGUAAAUGAGCCUCUCAGGCAGCUGCUGCGUGCUGCAGGCUGACCGUUCGCUCCAGCGGCAAUAACUUAGUAGUACACUACAGAGGUGAGCUCGAGGAACCCCCCACCCCCACACACACACACACACACACACACACACACACACACACACACACACACACACACACACUUGGGACGGACAGUAGACACUGUGUAAACAAUGGCCGUUGAGGGAGGAAGGUCGCCAAUAAAACGCUUCCUGCUACUGCAUUAUUCUCCUGCCGGCUCACGCGUCAGUUGGUCCCGUUCCGGCACCCAUGAACCUCAGACCCACUCCCCCAGCAGGAGGGGACAGAGGGGGCUUUCCGCCACACGUGUGCCCCCCCCCCCCAUCCCCUGGAACUCUACAUGUCAUCACUUUUGGUGCUCUCUGCAGGUCUACACAGGAACUCUGUCUCCACCUACUGACUCCCACCAUCCAAGCUGCCUUCCUCAGAGACAAUGAACUCGAAAGUGACUUUCAUUUCCUCCGCUGGAGCUCAGGACAGCAGCACGGUGUGACUCAGGCUAAUCCUCCUAAUGGUCUUAGCUGGCAGCUGAAGGUGUGUAGGAAAACGGGGACCAAGAACUCGCCUGGAUCUCAGUAUGUUCCGCGAGCAGUGCAGCUCAUGAGAACUCGGGGGUGCGCUUCCAGUGGAUUGACAUUUUAGUUCAGAACGUUUGUAGCAAGCUAUUCAACACGAACAGCAUCACAGAUAGACGUAACAGCAGCUAGUUGUACAAUUUUAAAAGUCAGUUGAAAAUUAUGUCAACAGAACCUUUGAUGAUUUGUACAGGAUAAAAAGAGUGUAUCCAGGGAUAAAGGGUUGUGUAACUCUGAGCGACUUUCUGAAUGCCUAAAAAUGUAAAGAUUGGAUGGUAAAAACCUGGUGGGGCUCCAGCUGAUCUCAGGCUCAGAGUAAAGAUUGGAUGGUAAGGCCUGGUGGGCUCCUGCUGAUCUCAGGCUCAGUGUAAAGAUUGGAUGGUAAGGCCAGGUGGGCUCCUGCUGAUCUCAGGCUCAGUGUAAAGAUUGGAUGGUAAGGCCUGGUGGGCUCCUGCUGAUCUCAGGCUCAGUGUAAAGAUUGGAUGGUAAAGGCCUGGUGGGCUCCUGCUGAUCUCAGGCUCAGUGUAAAGAUUGGACGGUAAGGCCUGGUGGGCUCACGUCAGCCUUCCCAAGCUCGCCACCUACUGGGUGGGUAAAAGCCACUGCGCAUUUCUGAAAGACCUGGGAUGCAUGGAGAACACACCCCCCCCUACAUGUGUGAAUAGUUCAGCUGAUCACCUCACCUGGAACCCUUUGCUCAGUCUGGAGCUGUUCAUUUAACUACACAUAUUCAGACCCAAAAAUAUCUGAACUUGUGGAGCAUUCAUGGGGGGGGGGGGGGGUAAGAAGGAAACUGCUUUCCAGGUCAGGUUUGGGGUGGCAGCCUGCAUAGAUCAGUCCCAUUGCCCAACGGGAUGAACAUAGGCCUUGGCUUUUAUUGUUUGCCUAAACUCAGCUCAGCACAGACUGGGAGGUAUUUAUAUAGCCUCAAAGCUGUUGAACAAAUUCUUCGUAGACAUUCACCGGCAUACCAAAGUCCUCCAAUAAAUGUGUACAGGAAAGUCCAGUGUCACAGAGAAAGAGGGUGGUUCUGACAGAUAAUUGGUGUUUAUUGGUUGGAAGUGACCUUUGACCCCUAUUUCGAAUAAGCUGAAUGGGUGGAUGGUCUUAAGGGAAGCGGCACUCCUUAAAUGCAUGCAUACCUGAUAAGCUGCUACCCACCGGGGGUCAUCGUAGUUUCUGCUGGGUCCUGCUCGCCAGGUGGCCGUGCAGGUUGCUGUAGACCUGUUAAACGAGGGCCUCGCAAUUAAGAACAUAAGAAAUUUACAAACGAGAUUAGCUUCAGGACAUCGGUUAUGGUUUGUGGGCUUUCAGGAUCGACUUUAGUCAGACGUAGGCCAGGUAUUAGAAAAUACUCUUUGAUUGACCCUGGACUCAACUGCUACAAGGGCUACAGGGAACCAGAACUGUAGCACAUAAGAACACCUACAAAACGGCAUUUUUUUGUAUCUCAGGCUAUUCACGUUGUGAGACGUAAUGCUAAUCACUUUUGGAAAAAGGGUUAUAGAAGGCAUGACACGGACUUGGAGGCAUCUGAACCAGCACAUGAAAAGGUAGGCAUGUGUCCAAAUGAUGCCCUGUAGGACAAGAUCCUGAAUGUGAGUCAUGUCUCUCUAACGUCGAAACACGUUCGUCUCGUCCCGUGCCUUCAGGGACCUUGUAGGAAGCACAGAACAGGCGCAAUGUACUUCAGGGCUGCCCUGGAGCUCCCAUGUUACAGACAUCGCAGUUUUCUACCAUAAAAUAUUCAUGGGUUUGGGUGCCGUGUGUGUAAGGGGAGUGUUUGCGUGGCUAGUCACAGAUUUGUCUGAAAUACUUCACUUUACAUGCAUCUUUUGAAGUGUCACUGGACCGUAACCGCGGACGUACUUAAAAUGAGUUACGGCGGUGAGCUCUGCUAGGUCUUUUUAAAGUGAAAGCUAUGAAAUAUGUGCAUUUUUUUUAUCCUUAUAAAUCAUAGAAUUAUAACAUCAAGCCUUCCAGGUGUCUCUUACAGUAGCUGUCAAAGCGGUGGGGAGCCACGCUGGCAGAGAAAAGCUGCUUCCCGAGUUCAGCAUCGUGACAGUAAUGAGAGACACAUUUAAUCUUGGGGGAGGUUCCCAAUGAAGGCCGUCGUUCCUCCCUGCAGAGACAACAGUAAUCUUGCUUCUUUCACUCGUUGUCCCCGUGUUCAGCAAGUGUGAACAGCUGGCCUUGGUAAAUGCACGGAGCUCCGUCAG